UGGGGUAUCGCCAAGCGGUAAGGCACCGGUUUUUGAUACCGGCAUUCCCUGGUUCGAGUCCAGGUACCCCAGCCA
This 75-nucleotide transfer RNA is filed under the name Escherichia coli. Its description in RNAcentral is "tRNA-Gln". It matches the Rfam family "tRNA". Rfam says of the family: Transfer RNA (tRNA) molecules are approximately 80 nucleotides in length. Their secondary structure includes four short double-helical elements and three loops (D, anti-codon, and T loops). Further hydrogen bonds mediate the characteristic L-shaped molecular structure. tRNAs have two regions of fundamental functional importance: the anti-codon, which is responsible for specific mRNA codon recognition, and the 3' end, to which the tRNAs corresponding amino acid is attached (by aminoacyl-tRNA synthetases). tRNAs cope with the degeneracy of the genetic code in two manners: having more than one tRNA (with a specific anti-codon) for a particular amino acid; and 'wobble' base-pairing, i.e. permitting non-standard base-pairing at the 3rd anti-codon position. The record is from RNAcentral. RNAcentral also lists the same sequence under 3 other names. Lineage: Bacteria; Pseudomonadati; Pseudomonadota; Gammaproteobacteria; Enterobacterales; Enterobacteriaceae.